This 72-nucleotide transfer RNA is filed under the name Salmo salar (Atlantic salmon). It matches the Rfam family "tRNA". Rfam says of the family: Transfer RNA (tRNA) molecules are approximately 80 nucleotides in length. Their secondary structure includes four short double-helical elements and three loops (D, anti-codon, and T loops). Further hydrogen bonds mediate the characteristic L-shaped molecular structure. tRNAs have two regions of fundamental functional importance: the anti-codon, which is responsible for specific mRNA codon recognition, and the 3' end, to which the tRNAs corresponding amino acid is attached (by aminoacyl-tRNA synthetases). tRNAs cope with the degeneracy of the genetic code in two manners: having more than one tRNA (with a specific anti-codon) for a particular amino acid; and 'wobble' base-pairing, i.e. permitting non-standard base-pairing at the 3rd anti-codon position. Lineage: Eukaryota; Metazoa; Chordata; Actinopteri; Salmoniformes; Salmonidae. The record is from Rfam by way of RNAcentral. RNAcentral also lists the same sequence under 1 other name.
UCCAGUGUUGCUCAGUUGGUAGAGCAUGGCACUUGCAAUGCCAGGGUUGUGGAUUCAAUUCCAACAUGGGAC